GCAAGUUGUGGGAGAAAGUUUCUUCGGAGAUGAGUAAACCGGCAGAAGGGUGAGUAUAAACUAGUUAACGUACCCAUAGGACUCGGAUAAUUCCUGGAAACGGGUUGUAAAACGGGAUGAGACCACAGUCACUUCGGUGACAGGGGUCAAAGGCAGGGGAUCCUUCGGGACCUUGUGCCUAUGGAGCGGACUAGUCCUGAUUAGCUUGAUGGUGAGGUAAUGGCUCACCAUGGCGAUGAUCAGUAGCCGGCCUGAGAGGGUGUUC
RNAcentral lists this ribosomal RNA (265 nucleotides) under uncultured bacterium. RNAcentral's name for it is "partial 16S ribosomal RNA". It matches the Rfam family "Bacterial small subunit ribosomal RNA", at positions 57 to 305 of the family's 1533-position model. The record is from RNAcentral.